CCAAUAUCAUCUUUCCCAUUUCUUUCUAUUUCCAACCGAAAACUCCAUUGUUGUUAGCUAAGGAAGCUUUGGCCUUGCAUAAACUCAUGCAUGUAAGUCAAUUUCACACUUAUUUUGUAUGAAUUUUAUGUUUUUGAAAUUGUUGUAGCUUAAUUUAGCUAGUCUAGAAACUAUUUUGAAAUAUUUUCAAAGUUUUGAAAACUUUCCAUUAAUGUUCUUGAAGCUUUUUAGAUGUUAAUGCUUGAGUUUGAAGUUUGAUGAUGAAAUAGGACAAUUUUGUAAAGUGAUUUUGAAUAGGUUUUAAGUUUAGGGAUUAAAUCAAAGUAUGUUAAAUUUGUCAUGGGUUUCUUGCGAAAUUUCAAUACUUGAGGGUUGUAUAGGGAUGGAUAUGAAUUCAACAUGUUAGCCUAGGGCUUAAUUGUGAAAAAUAAGCUUGUUUUGGUUUUAGGGAUUAAAUUGAACAAAAUGCAAAAAUUUAGAAAAAUUGUGAAAAUAUUAAUAGGAAGGGAAGCCUACAAGUUUGGCACUCGAUGUCCAGGCGUGUUUUGGAGGGAUGUUAGCCUUCGGGCUAGGCACUCAAUACUCAGACGUGCUCUUGGUUGGAUUAUCUCGAUUAAGCAUUCUAGCGUGUCUUGGAUGGAUAACCGCAUAUCUGUAUCUGUUCAUAUUGGUUCAUCGGGCUGAAUAGUGAUUUUUAAUUGGUAUAAUGGCUUAUAUUGAUGUGUGGUAAUAAUGCCUUGAUGAAUGAAUUGUAAAUGUGCUCAAACUUAUCGAUAUUAUAUUGUGACUUGGUAUUGAAUGAACUUGUAUAGCUUGAAUGAUAUAUUACUUGCAUAAAAUGAACUCACCCAUUGGAAAUGGUUGUGUUGACAGGACUAAGUGCUUCUUCAUUUUGUUAAUUUUAAAUUGUGACAUUAAGGUAUGUUAUAUUGUUUUUUUUUCGAUAUAUGAACUUACUAAGCUCAAUUAAGUUUUCUCUAUUUGGUUUUCCUGUAGUGGAAUUAAGCGAUCGGAUCACCUAAAAGAUCACACUAUCCAACUAUCUUUUGAUAGACUUUGAAAACAUUAUAUUUUGGUUUUGUGGCAUGUAGUAGGAGUAUUUGGUAUAGGUACUUAAGUGUUCAUCAAAAUAUAUAUGUUGUGUUAG
RNAcentral lists this long non-coding RNA (1147 nucleotides) under Gossypium barbadense (sea-island cotton). RNAcentral's name for it is "long non-coding RNA (GBAR_LNC015091)". Lineage: Eukaryota; Viridiplantae; Streptophyta; Magnoliopsida; Malvales; Malvaceae. The record is from RNAcentral.